Molecule: ribosomal RNA, 406 nt
Filed under: uncultured bacterium
Lineage: Bacteria
Description: partial 16S ribosomal RNA
Rfam family: Bacterial small subunit ribosomal RNA
Source: RNAcentral
AUUGAACGCUGGCGGCAGGCUUAACACAUGCAAGUCGAACGAGUGGCGGACGGGUGAGUAAUGCUUGGGAAACUGCCCGAUGGAGGGGGAUAACUACUGGAAACGGUCGCUAAUACCGCCUACCAUCGGAUGAGCCCAGCUGGGAUUGGCUAGUGGGUGGGGUAACGGCUCACCUAGGCGACGAUCCCUAGCUGGUCUGAGGGGAUGACCGGCCACACUGGAACGGAGACAAGGUCACGACUCCUACGGGAGGAAGCAGGGGGGAAGAUGGCACAAUGGGGGCAAGCCUGAUGCAGCCAUGCCGCGUGUAUGAGGAAGGCCUUAGGGUUUUAAGGUACUUUCAGCGAGGAGGCGUUACUCGCAGAAGAAGCACCGGCUAACUCCGUGCCAGCAGCCGCGGUAAUAC